Long non-coding RNA from Helianthus annuus (common sunflower), 1083 nucleotides. RefSeq lists it as uncharacterized. The transcript has 3 exons. NCBI's taxonomy places the organism in Eukaryota, Viridiplantae, Streptophyta, Magnoliopsida, Asterales, Asteraceae. The record is from RefSeq and is a predicted model, not a curated record.
UAGAGUGAGAGGACUAGAAAUUCAGUUGAGAGAGAGAAGAAACAGAGGAGAAUCGAAGAGAGAGAGCGUCAACUGAAGGGGAUCCGGCAAUCGUCUAUGGUCAACCACCCUGUUUUGGUGACCACCUCUGUCUUUUGCUCCCCUGUUCUAGCGGCUAAGGGUGUGGUUGAUACCUAAGGUUAAGGAUAAUCAUGGAAUCAAAUCGAAGCAGACCAUGAUGAUGACGACGUUACCGGUAGCGCCUAGGGUUCCAACAGAGCUACGGAGAGUCAGAUUCGUUUACAAAUGAGUACCCUAAUCCAAUUCCACCGCAUCCCUCGACGUAUCCCCUUCCUCCCUCUUCUCUUAGUUUCGAUUCCGGCGAACCCUCCAUCGGAUUCCAUGCUUGAUGCUUGUAGUCUGAAAUUAGAGCUCUGACAGCUAUGUUUCAGCAAUCAGGGCUCCAAUUUUAGUUAAUUUUGGAUUCUGCAGGUCUCAAAGCUUCUCGAAUUUGGUCUCCAUUCAGGAAUAGUGCCUUACGCGUAGGUCCAAGGUUCACCCUUCGCGGGAUUAUUGUAAAGUUGCAUUGGAGAAACCAGAUACAUAUAGCGUUAGUUGGCCGGAGAUAAUAGCAACUAUAAACACAUAGGUCCAAGGCUCACCCUUCGCGGGAUUAUUGUAAAGUUGCAUUGGAGAAACCAGAUACAUAUAGCGUUAGUUGGCCCGAGAUAAUAGCAACUAUAAACACACUGUCCCACUACUAACCAAAAUCAUGGAGCUGGAGUGGAUGCAUAGUUUUUCCUACUUCACUUUGUACCUGAGUAUGGUAUCAUUUGAGAGAACAAAUACAAAAGAAGUUUGUACCUAGGUAUAUUAUAUUCUUUAAGCUUUUUUUUUUCUUUCUAGAAUUUUAGUGUUGUACUUAUCAUUUCAAUAUAUCCUUAGGUUUAUUUUGCUAUUUACACAUUUUAUUUAAUUUGUAGAAUGGUGGAUGUAUGCAUCUUGACAUGUAGUUUAUCUUCAUUUUUUUUGUCAAAAAUGCAAGUGGGCAUUUGAAGAUGUAAGCUCAUCUUUUAUGUAUAGUAACAGGUUAGGUUCUCUUGA